Molecule: ribosomal RNA, 467 nt
Filed under: uncultured bacterium
Lineage: Bacteria
Description: partial 16S ribosomal RNA
Rfam family: Bacterial small subunit ribosomal RNA
Source: RNAcentral
GACGAACGCUGGCGGCGUGCUUAACACAUGCAAGUCGAACGGAAAGGCCGCAUUCGGGGGGUACUCGAGUGGCGAACGGGUGGGUAACAGGGGAGUAACCUGCCCUUGACUUUGGGAUGACUUCAGGAAACUGGGGCCAAUAGCGGAUAGGAGCUCCUGCCGCAUGGUGGGGGUUGGAAAGUUUCGGCGGUUGGGGAUGGGCUGGCGGCUUAUCAGCUUGUUGUUGGGGUAGUGGCUUACCACGGCUUUGACGGGUAGCCGGCCUGUGAGAGUGACCGGCGGCACUGGGACUGACAGGCGGCCCAGACUCCUACGGGAGGCAGCAGUGGGGAAUAUUGCACAAUGGGUGGAGGCCUGAUGCAGCAGCGCCGUGUGCUGUAUGACGGCCUUCUUGUUGUAAACCGCUUUCGCUCAUGACGAAGCUUUGUGUGACGGUAGUGAGUAAAGAAGCACCGGCUAACUACGUG